UGGGAUUACAGAUGGCGUGACAGCUCAUC
This 29-nucleotide non-coding RNA is filed under the name Mus musculus (house mouse). Lineage: Eukaryota; Metazoa; Chordata; Mammalia; Rodentia; Muridae. The record is from RNAcentral.